RNAcentral lists this ribosomal RNA (464 nucleotides) under Vreelandella stevensii. RNAcentral describes it as "partial 16S ribosomal RNA". It matches the Rfam family "Bacterial small subunit ribosomal RNA", at positions 338 to 795 of the family's 1533-position model. The record is from RNAcentral. Lineage: Bacteria; Pseudomonadati; Pseudomonadota; Gammaproteobacteria; Oceanospirillales; Halomonadaceae.
CCUACGGGGGGCUGCAGUGGGGAAUAUUGGACAAUGGGGGAACCCUGAUCCAGCCAUGCCGCGUGUGUGAAGAAGGCCCUCGGGUUGUAAAGCACUUUCAGUGAGGAAGAACGCCUGGUGGUUAAUACCCAUCAGGAAAGACAUCACUCACAGAAGAAGCACCGGCUAACUCCGUGCCAGCAGCCGCGGUAAUACGGAGGGUGCGAGCGUUAAUCGGAAUUACUGGGCGUAAAGCGCGCGUAGGUGGCUUGAUAAGCCGGUUGUGAAAGCCCCGGGCUCAACCUGGGAACGGCAUCCGGAACUGUCAAGCUAGAGUGCAGGAGAGGAAGGUAGAAUUCCCGGUGUAGCGGUGAAAUGCGUAGAGAUCGGGAGGAAUACCAGUGGCGAAGGCGGCCUUCUGGACUGACACUGACACUGAGGUGCGAAAGCGUGGGUAGCAAACAGGAUUAGAUACCCGAGUAGUC